Non-coding RNA from Schistosoma haematobium, 78 nucleotides. NCBI's taxonomy places the organism in Eukaryota, Metazoa, Platyhelminthes, Trematoda, Strigeidida, Schistosomatidae. The record is from Rfam.
AGCCUUCUGAAUCUACGUUGAGAUUUCGUCAAACACCAGACCAUCAGCACUGACGAGACUCCCAAGAUAAGUGGAGAA